This is a non-coding RNA of Chelonoidis abingdonii (Abingdon island giant tortoise), 1863 nucleotides long. Lineage: Eukaryota; Metazoa; Chordata; Testudines; Testudinidae. The record is from RefSeq and is a predicted model, not a curated record.
GUUAGAAUCUAGCCCCGGCAGGGAGGGUGGGCGUGGCAGUGCGACUAACGGGGCGAAGGGCUGCAGGGAUUCUCGUGAAUCUCUUCAAGACUGAGGGGCGGCUGCUGGUCGGGAGACGGGCAUUUGUAUCGCCACGGCGCCCAGCCCACGGUGAGCCUGCACGGAAGCUGUUGCUACUGAGAGAUGGUUGUCUCCUGUCCAUAUUUUGCCCCACAUUGGCUGGGGAAGGUGACACUUGCUGUCCAUGCAUCAGAUCCUCUGGAGCAGUUAAUCCAGCAUUUAGCAAAAGUAAUAAUAACAUAGAAAGCUUGUGCAGACAAUGUCAAGUGCUAGCUCAAAGUAGAGCAUUUAGAAUUGUUUAAAUUGAAAUAAUAACUUAAUCCAAAAAAAGAAAAGAGAUUUGUCCCAUAGGCUGAAAGUAUUUUCUUUAGCAGAUUUUUAUCAAACAUUUAAAAGCUUGAAUUGUUUUCUUUAAAGUCAUUAAGUACAGAAAUGUGUCGAGGUUUUAUUGCUAUGCUCAACUGUUUUUUUGAAGAAGAACAUUUAUUGUAAUUUAAAAGGACACUAUUGAAUAAUUUUAUAAUGGAUUUUAGUUUUAUAUUUUAAAAUUUGUUGUUUGUGCCCAAUUCUGUAAUUUGUAGGCUAAACUUCUGUUGACUUCAAAGGUAGUUUUGGAUGGCAAGGAAUACAGGAUUGAUCCCUCAGUGCCUGGACCUGAGCUCAUAUUCCAGGCACUCAAUUCUUAUGAGGAUCGGGCCUGAUCCUGCAAUAUUUAGGCAUCUGUUUAAUUUUACACACUCUGAAUAUUCUCACUGAAGUCAGUGGGAAAAUCACGUGUGUGAAUCUUUGCAAAAUUGGGCUGUUGUUUGCAACAUACUUUUUGAAAGCUGAAGAUAUUUCCUAUCCUUAGGGGUCUACCUACUUGGAUUCCUUUACAAUUGGUGCCUCUGUUAUUCUAUACUCUCAAAAUUUGGCAACAUUGAUUUUUCUCUCUCUGUAAUGUCAAUGAAGCUGAAAUUAACAUGGUUUUAACUGUAUCAUGAACAACAAAACAUUUUCAUUUCCUAGCUUAUGUAUUUUAUUAUGCAAGAACUAGGAGCUGUUUUAAGCCCUACCUACACUAAUCUUUAAACAGACACUGGCAACCAUGUUUAAAGUAAUUUCAUAAACAUAUUUCCAUCUAAAUGGAAUACAUUUUAAAACAUGGUUCUAAUAUGGUUGGUUGCCAUCUGUGCAGCCUAUCCAGUGUUUAGAAACGAACUCUGUUGAACCCCAGUGUGGAUGGGCCCAUAAUAUGGGCCCCUAGGUACUAUGAUAAUAUAAAAAUAAAUGAUAAUUAUAUAACAAUAACAUAUUAGCAGCUUUCUUUCUGUCAGUGUAUCCCCUCCAUUCUCCUACCUGACUAGUGCUUCCACAACUGCCAGCAUGAGAGAGAAUGUUGUUGAGGGUGCUCAUAAUAUUGUCAAAAGACCAAAACAAGACAACAUCCUUUUCAGAAGAGUAUUAUUAUUAUUAUGGAUUUUGGGGAAAAAACUGUAUUUUAUAAAAUAAUGUUUUGUCAUUAGCCUUUAAAAACACCUUGGUUGUCCUGUCAAAUUUCUCAGUGCCUCCUACAUCUGUGUGCUACACUGGUCCCUGAAACUGCCGCAGAUCAAGACAUCUUCAUUUUCAGGUGCACUGGGAUUACCAAAGGAUGUCAGCACAACAUUCAAAUUAACUGGCCUGAUCCUGUUCUAGAUUAGCCAUUUACUACACUUGGAGAAAGAUUGGGCCCAAUGUUUGCAUGUUAACUGUUGAUUCUGAAAUAUAAACAAUUUUCUCCCAAAUAGAAUUAAAGCCAGUGCAAGAUGGUGCAUUACAUUA